UACGUAGGUGGCAAGCGUUUGUCCGGAAUUAUUGGGCGUAAAGCGCGCGCAGGCGGUCCUUUUAAGUCUGAUGUGAAAGCCCACGGCUCAACCGUGGAGGGUCAUUGGAAACUGGGGGGACUUGAGUGCAGGAGAGAAGAGUGGAAUUCCACGUGUAGCGGUGAAAUGCGUAGAGAUGUGGAGGAACACCAGUGGCGAAAGCGGCUUCCUGGUCCAGCACCGACGUUCAGGCACGAAAGCGUGGGGAGCAAACAGG
This 256-nucleotide ribosomal RNA is filed under the name uncultured bacterium. Its description in RNAcentral is "partial 16S ribosomal RNA". It matches the Rfam family "Bacterial small subunit ribosomal RNA", at positions 524 to 776 of the family's 1533-position model. The record is from RNAcentral.